This 293-nucleotide long non-coding RNA is filed under the name Lathyrus oleraceus (garden pea). RNAcentral describes it as "Pisum sativum (pea) long non-coding RNA (PSAT_LNC025279)". The record is from RNAcentral. Lineage: Eukaryota; Viridiplantae; Streptophyta; Magnoliopsida; Fabales; Fabaceae.
GCAGUUACAGUGUAUGAAUAACAUAAAUAUGAGCGAAAAUAGGAAAUAAUAAUAAGGUUUGUUAAGGUUUAAGAAAAGGUUUAUGGUUUAGAGGAAAUAACACGGUUAAAGUUUUAGGUUUGAAAUUUAGAGUUUGUGGCGAAAUUGUCAGGGUUUAGGAAAAAUCAGGGUAGUUAGUUAUGGAAAAAAAUGUGCAGAUCUAAAUAUAUGUAUAUAAAAAAAAUAUGAAUUAAAAAAAAACAACGGCGUUGCUAGCGCAAAAUUGCGAUCAUCGCAACUGGAUCGGAUAACAC